AGAUUGAACGCUGGCGGCAGGCCUAACACAUGCAAGUCGAACGCGAUCUUCGGAUCGAGUGGCGCACGGGUGAGUAACGCGUGGGAAUCUGCCCUGUGGUACGGAAUAACAUCGGGAAACUGGUGCUAAUACCGUAUAUCCCCUGAGGGGGAAAGAUUUAUCGCCAUGGGAGGAGCCCGCGUAGGAUUAGCUAGUUGGUGAGGUAACGGCUCACCAAGGCGACGAUCCUUAGCUGGUCUGAGAGGAUGAUCAGCCACACUGGGACUGAGAUACGGCCCAGACUCCUACGGGAGGCAGCAGUGGGGAAUAUUGGACAAUGGGGGAAACCCUGAUCCAGCCAUGCCGCGUGUGUGAUGAAGGCCUUCGGGUUGUAAAGCACUUUCGCACGUGACGAUGAUGACGGUAACGUGAGAAGAAGCCCGGCUAACUUCGUGCCAGCAGCCGC
RNAcentral lists this ribosomal RNA (445 nucleotides) under uncultured bacterium. RNAcentral's name for it is "SSU rRNA". It matches the Rfam family "Bacterial small subunit ribosomal RNA", at positions 26 to 518 of the family's 1533-position model. The record is from RNAcentral.